UACUGAAAGCAUCUUAAAGAUAGCUAAUAAAUGAAUAUGUAUUUUUAUUUGAUUGAAGGAUCAACAUAGUCAUAUGGCAAAUAUUACCUUAUGAAUCUAUAAGUUAAAUGCAAACUUUAUCAUAAUCCCCAUAUAAAUUUUUGUAAAAAUUGACAAAUCAAUUCUAAAAUUUAUGUGGAAAUCCAAAAGCCAUAAAAUGGCCAAAACAAUUUCCAAAAACAGCAUUGGCUGAAUUUAAUAAAACCAGAGUAAUCAAGACAGUAUGGUAUUGGUACAGGAGUAGGAAUAUAGAUCAAAGAAAGAGACUUGAAAUUCCAGAUAUAUUUCUGGUCAAUUGAUUUUGUUACUCUAGAUUUAUUAAAAACUAAAAAUUUUGUGUCUUCUGCAUCUGUCUCUGCAGGGUUAGACUUAAGUAAAUGAUAACCGAAGUAAAAACUAGGCAUCAGCUUGUGUUAGAGCCAGGUACAUUGGGCCUGGGGUGAGACAGAAGGAAUUAGAAAUAGGUAGAAAGGAAACAUAAAGGAAAGACAGGAAAUAAAAUUUUAAAGAUCCACCUGCUUUUCCAGGUCCAUCAGUCCCUAAACCAGUCUCUUUCCCAAGCCUGUUUCUCCCAAAUUCCUGUGAAAUCUGAGCAUUGUUAUUGACCCCCACCCCCACCUCAAAAAAUAGAUUCAGUAAAUAAAGAUACAGUAUUUUGAGAAAUCUAUAAUUUAGGGGACUUUCCAGUGCUAUUUACUAAUAAUGAAGAACAUAUCAGCCUAGGGAUUCUGCAUUUGACCUCCUCAAAUCAUCUUGAGAUCACCAGACUGAUAUCAUUCUGACAUUUCCCAUACUUACUGCUCACCAGAUUUCCUUAGAAGAGCUGGAAAUUCCCAAAAUAUGUCCCUCACUCUCAAGAUGGCCUGCAUUCUCCCUGAAUAUAUUCCUUUCUUUAUAAUCAGAGACGCUUCUCUCUGGAGAUUGCUCCCAUUCUUCCUUGAACGUGUACCUACUUUCUCAAACAAAUCUGUGUAUGCCUCUGACUGGUGAGUGCUAAAAUUAUUUUCUGUCUUUUAAGCAAAGGACCACACUGGUCAUGAGUCAAGUUCCCAACUUCUUAGACCCUCCUCCAGAGACAAUUCUUCUCCCAUAACAGGCCCUCUUUUUAAAAAGAGAAUUCAAACUUAGCUAUGAAAGUGAGUAUUUAGAAUGAGGCAACACAUUACAAAAACCAUGCAGACGAAUAGCACAAACAUCACAAAUUCCACAAAAAUAGCAGUAUUAGCUGUCUCCUACUUUUAUAACAACUUUUUUCCCUAUGUUUUUGGGCUAUGUAUGCUUCAUACACCUUUAAGCAUGAUUGAUAGACUUGGAAAGUUCAGAAAACUUUCCUGGAGUUUCACCAUUCAUUAUUAGUCCUGCUGCAUCUGAGUUUCCUGCUUAUGCAAGAAUUCAAAAGUCAUGAGAAAACUUCAGCUCCCUGGUAUCACUGGUUUGGGUUAUAAUGGCUGCCUCCGCAGCAGAUGGAUCACUUUUGUUAAACAUUUGCCACCUCCUGUUAACCACUGGGUAGUACCUGAGAAGAGUGUGUGAAGAACAGAAAUUUUUUCUUGAAUCCUGGGUCACAAUGACUCAAAAGAAAGAAGACAUUUCCUUGGUCCUUUCCCUAGGGUCAAAGAAUGGAUCCUGAAACAGGUCAUGACUAGAGGCUCCAGCUGAUGGUGUUGCUGCUGAGAGGCUGCACAUCCCACUAUAGCCCCAGUACCAUCCCCAGAAUAGAGAGUGAUUCCCAAGACUGGGCAGUAGUGAGUAGUGCUGAGGUAGAAAACAUGAGAACAGGUAGGAAGGAGAUGUAAGGGACAAGACAAGAGUGGCCAGAUUUCAGGUCCACUUUCACAUGGAUUUAAAGUCCAGAUUUUAAAGUCACUUUCACAUACCUUGAUCACAAAUAGCACUAUUCAAUCAACUAUUAGACCUUAUCCUCAGGUACACCAAGGUAGUCCUGUGUUCACAAAGCAAAAUGCAUCAACAACAAGAAUAAAAUGACUUGGGGCCCACCCAGAUAAUGUCCAACAUAUCAAUAAAUGACACUCCUCCAUCCCAGUAACAUACCCAGUUAACAACACAAAAAAGAACUAAAAUGCCCUCUUUGUGCCCUUCAGUAGAUGAAUGGAUAAAGAAACUGUGGUAUGGUAUAUAUACACAAUGGAAUAUUACUUAGCAUUAAAAAAGAAUAAAUCAUGGAAUUUGCAGGUAAAUGGAUGAAGUUGGAGAAUUUUAUGCUAAGUGAAGUAAGCCAAUCCUAAAAUACCAAAUGCCAACUGUUUCCUCUGAUAUGAGACUGCUGAUCCAUAAUGGGGAUGGGGGCGCAUGGGAGGAAUGGAGGAAUUUUAGAAAGGGCAAAGAGGAG
Molecule: long non-coding RNA, 2389 nt
Filed under: Marmota monax (woodchuck)
Lineage: Eukaryota; Metazoa; Chordata; Mammalia; Rodentia; Sciuridae
Source: RNAcentral